UAUAAAAGAGUGUUCACAUUAUUCUUUUUUCACAAAUCGUUCAUUUUAUAAUUUGUAAAGUACCUACGAAACAUUUAUACAUUUACAAUGAAACGUACAAUUAUAAUUUCUUUAAUUCUUACUACAGUAUUUGUCCACACAGCAUACGGUAAAUAUAUAAAUUAUUAAUAUAAAUUAUGUUUUUAAAAAAUAAAUUGAAUAAGGGCUAAUACAGGAAGUAUUUCGUAUGCAAUCACAAAAUUGAAAAAAGUGCGUAUGGAAUAUUAAUGUACCGUAUCGUAUUUGCUUAACCUUAAGAUAAUAAUAAUAAUAAAAUACUAUACUAUACUAUAAAAGAACUAAUACUGAGGACACGGGUGCAGACAAUGUUGAAGGUAGAUGAUUGAAAAGGUAGAGUACAUAAAAUAAUUUAAUUUAUGCUCGUAGGCAACAGUAAACUAUUGAUAAAGAAAAAUGUUUCGAAACGAAGUUCUGUUAUAAAUGUUUUAAAAGGCCAUAAAAUUAACGAUGUUUGUUAAAAUUGUAUAUUAACUCUUAUAAAUAAAAAUUAAUUACUAU
Non-coding RNA from Cinara cedri, 558 nucleotides. Lineage: Eukaryota; Metazoa; Arthropoda; Insecta; Hemiptera; Aphididae. The record is from the annotation of a GenBank genome assembly.